This 478-nucleotide ribosomal RNA is filed under the name uncultured bacterium. RNAcentral's name for it is "partial 16S ribosomal RNA". It matches the Rfam family "Bacterial small subunit ribosomal RNA", at positions 28 to 523 of the family's 1533-position model. The record is from RNAcentral.
GACGAACGCUGGCGGCGUGCUUAACACAUGCAAGUCGAACGGUAAGGCCCUUCGGGGUACACGAGUGGCGAACGGGCGAGUAACACGUGGGUGAUCUGCCCUGCACUUCGGGAUAAGCCUGGGAAACUGGGUCUAAUACCGGAUAGGACUCCUGGCUUCAUGGUUGGGGGUGGAAAGCUUUUGCGGUGUGGGAUGGGCCCGGGGCCUAUCAGCUUGUUGGUGGGGUAAUGGCCUACCAAGGCGACGACGGGUAGCCGGCCUGAGAGGGUGACUGGUCACACUGGGACUGAGAUACGGCCCAGACUCCUACGGGAGGCAGCAGUGGGGAAUAUUGCACAAUGGGCGCAAGCCUGAUGCAGCGACGCCGCGUGAGGGAUGACGGCCUUCGGGUUGUAAACCUCUUUCAGCUAUGACGAAGCGCAAGUGACGGUAGUAGCAGAAGAAGGACCGGCCAACUACGUGCCAGCCGCCGCAGUAA